Photinus pyralis (common eastern firefly) is the source of this 453-nucleotide long non-coding RNA. RefSeq lists it as uncharacterized. The transcript has 4 exons. The record is from RefSeq and is a predicted model, not a curated record. NCBI's taxonomy places the organism in Eukaryota, Metazoa, Arthropoda, Insecta, Coleoptera, Lampyridae.
UUUCGAUUAUUCGCUUCUUGAAGAAAUCUUCGGUGACAUUGAAUGCCUUAACCGUCAACUUAUAGACGCCGAAAAACAACUUUCUCGAUUUUUUAAGAUUUUAUCUAUUAAACGGGAAAACAAUUUUUGCGAUCUCCAGUGGUGCCAUUGCCAAGUGGAGCACCUUAUUGAAAGGAGGGCAAAGUUAUUAGCGGACAUCCAACAGUUAUCCGUAGGGAGCUUCCAGUAAAAAUAUUGAAGAGUUCAGAUUUUGGGGGAUCAUUAAGCCGGUGUGCCAACUGCUUAUUUAAAAAAGGAGAUCAAGCUCGUUUAUAAGGAAUCAAAAAUGUUUAUGUGUGAAAAAUGUAAUAAAUCAUUCGCUACUAAUAGCAAUCUUCGACGCCAUCUCAAAAAGUCAUGUAGAGCUCAAGAACCAUCUCCAAAGAAGCUCAAAGUUGCACACGAUACCCAGAG